Pelobates cultripes (western spadefoot toad) is the source of this 185-nucleotide non-coding RNA. The record is from the annotation of a GenBank genome assembly. NCBI's taxonomy places the organism in Eukaryota, Metazoa, Chordata, Amphibia, Anura, Pelobatidae.
CAUGCGAGAGCACUUUUUCAAUGGGCUCCCCAAUGACAAGUCGACGACGCAUUCGUAUGUCAUCUAUAUCAACUUUCGAUGCCAUUUACUGUGCCUGCCAUGGUGACCACGUGUAACGGGGAAUCAGGGUUUGAUUCCGGAGAGGGAGCCUGAGAAAUGGCUACCACAUGCAAGGAAGGCAGCAG